Molecule: ribosomal RNA, 466 nt
Filed under: uncultured bacterium
Lineage: Bacteria
Description: partial 16S ribosomal RNA
Rfam family: Bacterial small subunit ribosomal RNA
Source: RNAcentral
GACGAACGCUGGCGGCGCGCCUAACACAUGCAAGUCGAACGAGCGAGAGAGAGCUUGCUUUCUUGAGCGAGUGGCGAGCGGGUGAGUAACGCGUGAGGAACCUGCCUCAAAGAGGGGGACAACAGUUGGAAACGACUGCUAAUACCGCAUAAGCCCACGGUGCCGCAUGGCACAGAGGGAAAAGGAGCAAUCCGCUUUGAGAUGGCCUCGCGUCCGAUUAGCUAGUUGGUGAGGUAACGGCCCACCAAGGCGACGAUCGGUAGCCGGACUGAGAGGUUGAACGGCCACAUUGGGACUGAGACACGGCCCAGACUCCUACGGGAGGCAGCAGUGGGGAAUAUUGCACAAUGGGGGAAACCCUGAUGCAGCGACGCCGCGUGGAGGAAGAAGGUCUUCGGAUUGUAAACUCCUGUUGUUGGGGAAGAUAAUGACGGUACCCAACAAGGAAGUGACGGCUAACUACGUG